Molecule: ribosomal RNA, 770 nt
Filed under: uncultured bacterium
Lineage: Bacteria
Description: bacterial SSU rRNA
Rfam family: Bacterial small subunit ribosomal RNA
Source: RNAcentral
GCCUGCUACUGACGCUGAGGCGCGAAAGCCGGGGGAGCGAACAGGAUUAGAUACCCUGGUAGUCCCGGCUGUAAACGGUGGGCACUAGGUGUGGGGGGCAUCGACCCCUCCCGUGCCGCAGCUAACGCAUUAAGUGCCCCGCCUGGGGAGUACGACCGCAAGGUUGAAACUCAAAGGAAUUGACGGGGGCCCGCACAAGCGGUGGAGCAUGUGGUUUAAUUCGAUGCAACGCGAAGAACCUUACCUAGGCUUGACAUGCACCGGACAGGUGUGGAAACACACCCUCCUUUCGGGGCCGGUGUACAGGUGCUGCAUGGCUGUCGUCAGCUCGUGUCGUGAGAUGUUGGGUUAAGUCCCGCAACGAGCGCAACCCUUGUCCCUAGUUGCUAACAUUCAGUUGAGCACUCUAGGGAGACUGCCGUCGAUAGGACGGAGGAAGGUGGGGAUGACGUCAAGUCCUCAUGGUCCUUACGCCUAGGGCUACACACGUGCUACAAUGGCCGGUACAAAGGGUUGCAAGACCGCGAGGUGGAGCCAAUCCCAAAAAACCGGUCUCAGUUCGGAUUGCAGUCUGCAACUCGACUGCAUGAAGUCGGAAUCGCUAGUAAUCGCUGAUCAGCAGGCAGCGGUGAAUAUGUUCCCGGGCCUUGUACACACCGCCCGUCAAGCCACGAAAGCUGGUAGUACCCGAAGUCGCUGUCCUAACCGCAAGGAGGGAGGCGCCUAAGGUAAGGCUGGUGAUGGGGCUAAGUCGUAACAAGGUAACCGUA